UACGGGGGGGGCAAGCGUUGUUCGGAAUUACUGGGCGUAAAGGGCUCGUAGGCGGCCAACUAAGUCAGACGUGAAAUCCCUCGGCUUAACCGGGGAACUGCGUCUGAUACUGGAUGGCUUGAGGUUGGGAGAGGGAUGCGGAAUUCCAGGUGUAGCGGUGAAAUGCGUAGAUAUCGGGAGGAACACCGGUGGCGAAGGCGGCGAUCUGGGUCGAUACUGACGCUGAGGUGCGAAAGCGUGGGGAGCAAACAGG
Molecule: ribosomal RNA, 253 nt
Filed under: uncultured bacterium
Lineage: Bacteria
Description: partial 16S ribosomal RNA
Rfam family: Bacterial small subunit ribosomal RNA
Source: RNAcentral